Molecule: ribosomal RNA, 497 nt
Filed under: uncultured bacterium
Lineage: Bacteria
Description: partial 16S ribosomal RNA
Rfam family: Bacterial small subunit ribosomal RNA
Source: RNAcentral
GAUGAACGCUGGCGGCGUGCCUAAUACAUGCAAGUCGAGCGAACGGACGAGAAGCUUGCUUCUCUGAUGUUAGCGGCGGACGGGUGAGUAACACGUGGAUAACCUACCUAUAAGACUGGGAUAACUUCGGGAAACCGUAGCUAAUACCGGAUAAUAUUUUGAACCGCAUGGUUCAAAAGUGAAAGACGGUCUUGCUGUCACUUAUAGAUGGAUCCGCGCUGCAUUAGCUAGUUGGUAAGGUAACGGCUUACCAAGGCAACGAUGCAUAGCCGACCUGAGAGGGUGAUCGGCCACACUGGAACUGAGACACGGUCCAGACUCCUACGGGAGGCAGCAGUAGGGAAUCUUCCGCAAUGGGCGAAAGCCUGACGGAGCCACGCCGCGUGAGUGAUGAAGGUCUUCGGAUCGUAAAACUCUGUUAUUAGGGAAGAACAUAUGUGUAAGUAACUGUGCACAUCUUGACGGUACCUAAUCAGAAAGCCCCGGCUAACUACGUG